This 1951-nucleotide long non-coding RNA is filed under the name Homo sapiens (human). Its description in RNAcentral is "HSALNT0367306". The record is from RNAcentral. Lineage: Eukaryota; Metazoa; Chordata; Mammalia; Primates; Hominidae.
UGUCAUGACUUCUGAGCUGUUUGAAAGAGAAUGUUCUCAGAAUCAAGUAAUCAAGAAAACUGACAAACUAUCAGCUAGACUGAACAAGAAAAAAAGAGAGAAGACACAAAUUAACAGCCAUUUGGAAUGGACAGAAUGAAACAGAAGUCAAAGAGCUGUCUACACGUCCUUCCCAAGCUAUAAUUAAGAUGGAAGCUCAUUUGCCAUUCUGAGGAUUGGUGCAAUCAAGCAUAUGACAGCAAGAUUUUGGAACAUUUUUAUCAGUUUUGGAACCACAGCUCCUCCAUGGCCAAAUUUCUCUUUAUGUCUCAGGUUUCAGAGCAUGGCCUAAUAUUUCCCGUACAGACAGGCCGCUCCGCUGCCCUUCUGAUUCAGCUGACCACUGUGCACUGUAGCGACGUGCAAGGGGUAGGAGUGGACACAUUCCAGCUCGCUGGGGUUUGGAACGGCACCUCUCAUUCCCAGAGAAGGGAUUCUCUGUGGAGGCUGAGUUGGCAGUGCUCAAGCUUGCCUUGCGGUUGGCACGUAGGCCAUCAGCAAUCAUCUGAGUAUCAACCUGCCAAGCUGAGGCCGUCCUGGGGCACAGAGAUUUAUUGCUAACAGAGGAAAGAAAAGAAACCAUUUCCUUAAUUCUGCUUUGCAGGCCACUCUCAUGGAAAGGAACUCCCCUGCUGCCCUGAUCAGUUCAAUAUCUAACUCAUCAUGCCUGUGUUCUUCCCCAGCAGCUCAGGCCGGUCUGCUACCAGGAACAGGUGCCAAAUCAGAGUGUGGAAUUUUCCCAGCAGGCCCCAGGGUGUGUUGCUGCCAAGGCAACUGUGGUAGGGUUGGGGAAUAACUAGCGAACCACAAAUCCAGAAAAGGAAGAGGAGGCCUCCUUUUCGGCUUGGGCCAACUCAGAUGUGCCAGUAAAUAUGAAUUGGUUGGAUUUGACUUCUCAAUGAUACACAAUGAUUCUCUACCUGGACUAACACCACAGAGGAUGCCAUAGAAACUUCUGAGAUUUCGAUGAUAAAUAUAAAAAGUUGAAGCUUUGGGGAGCCCAAGCCAGGAAGCUGGAGACACUGUGGCAGAAAGUGAAAGAGGAAGAAGCCAUUCGACGUCUGUUUUUAAAAAUGUGUUCUGUCCCUCAGUCCGCCAAAAAGUCCUCAUCUCCUGAAGCUGCAAGAAGAGACAGAGCCCAGCCUGAUAAUCUGAGGACUGAACUUCAAAGGUCACCCAGCCAAAAUAAUCUACUCUGCCUGCCCAAGUGUGAAGCCUAGUGUGAAACCUACUCCAGAGGUGAAACCCCACCAAGAGAUGAAAACCACUUUGGGAAAUACCUUAUGUCUGAUAUUUUCUUCUUCAUUUUUUGAUAGGACUUUUUUUUUCCUGCUCAAAAGUGACUAUCUGGUAGUACAUUCCCAGAGGAUCCUGGCCAGGUAACAGAGAAGUCUGAAAGGCUACCUUGAGAUAAGGUACUAACAGCCUGUGGUAGCUUUAAUAGAAUAUUCUGGUUUAAAUAACAACCUUGAACAUCCAACUUAUUCAGAUUCAACAAACAUCUAUCGAGUAUUUACCCUCUGCAGAUAAGACAAGGCCAUGUAUUAGAUGUUUCCUCAUGUGUUAUAUCAUUUAGUGAUUACAACAAACAUCAAAGGUAGCAUCCCUACUUUACAAAGUAAAACACAGAUACUCAGAAAGGGUAAUUUAUUCACUGAAAGUCAAAGUGAGAUGAAUUCAAACAUAGGUCCUCUAACACCCAGGGCACAGACUGAUGAUGUUCAUGACCAGCUGAGUUUAUGAAAUCUCUUACGCUGUCUGUCCCUAAUCUGCCUAUACAUUAGCAAGGUGUAGAGAAGCACCAUGCUUCUGUCCAACAUAACAGGGUUAGAAGGUCACUUUUCUGCAUGUUUCUACAUUAUUUUCAAAACUGCCAUUCAUCUGCGUUUUCAAAUAAAUAUCAACAAAAUUA